This 491-nucleotide ribosomal RNA is filed under the name uncultured bacterium. RNAcentral describes it as "partial 16S ribosomal RNA". It matches the Rfam family "Bacterial small subunit ribosomal RNA", at positions 29 to 507 of the family's 1533-position model. The record is from RNAcentral.
GUGAACGCUGGCGGUAGGCCUAACACAUGCAAGUCGAACGGCAGCACAGUAAGAGCUUGCUCUUACGGGUGGCGAGUGGCGGACGGGUGAGGAAUACAUCGGAAUCUACUUUUUCGUGGGGGAUAACGUAGGGAAACUUACGCUAAUACCGCAUACGACCUACGGGUGAAAGCAGGGGAUCUUCGGACCUUGCGCGAUUGAAUGAGCCGAUGUCGGAUUAGCUAGUUGGCGGGGUAAAGGCCCACCAAGGCGACGAUCCGUAGCUCGUCUGAGAGGAUGAUCAGCCACACUGGAACUGAGACACGGUCCAGACUCCUACGGGAGGCAGCAGUGGGGAAUAUUGGACAAUGGGCGCAAGCCUGAUCCAGCCAUACCGCGUGGGUGAAGAAGGCCUUCGGGUUGUAAAGCCCUUUUGUUGGGAAAGAAAAGCAGCAGGUUAAUACCCCGCUGUUCUGACGGUACCCAAAGAAUAAGCACCGGCUAACUUCGUG